This 931-nucleotide ribosomal RNA is filed under the name Bacillus siamensis. Its description in RNAcentral is "bacterial SSU rRNA". It matches the Rfam family "Bacterial small subunit ribosomal RNA", at positions 1 to 887 of the family's 1533-position model. Lineage: Bacteria; Bacillati; Bacillota; Bacilli; Caryophanales; Bacillaceae. The record is from RNAcentral.
CCUUCGCCCCCCGGGGGGGGGGCUUUUUUUUAGGUUUUUGUUUUUCUGCUCAGGACGAACGCUGGCGGCGUGCCUAAUACAUGCAAGUCGAGCGGACAGAUGGGAGCUUGCUCCCUGAUGUUAGCGGCGGACGGGUGAGUAACACGUGGGUAACCUGCCUGUAAGACUGGGAUAACUCCGGGAAACCGGGGCUAAUACCGGAUGGUUGUUUGAACCGCAUGGUUCAGACAUAAAAGGUGGCUUCGGCUACCACUUACAGAUGGACCCGCGGCGCAUUAGCUAGUUGGUGAGGUAACGGCUCACCAAGGCGACGAUGCGUAGCCGACCUGAGAGGGUGAUCGGCCACACUGGGACUGAGACACGGCCCAGACUCCUACGGGAGGCAGCAGUAGGGAAUCUUCCGCAAUGGACGAAAGUCUGACGGAGCAACGCCGCGUGAGUGAUGAAGGUUUUCGGAUCGUAAAGCUCUGUUGUUAGGGAAGAACAAGUGCCGUUCAAAUAGGGCGGCACCUUGACGGUACCUAACCAGAAAGCCACGGCUAACUACGUGCCAGCAGCCGCGGUAAUACGUAGGUGGCAAGCGUUGUCCGGAAUUAUUGGGCGUAAAGGGCUCGCAGGCGGUUUCUUAAGUCUGAUGUGAAAGCCCCCGGCUCAACCGGGGAGGGUCAUUGGAAACUGGGGAACUUGAGUGCAGAAGAGGAGAGUGGAAUUCCACGUGUAGCGGUGAAAUGCGUAGAGAUGUGGAGGAACACCAGUGGCGAAGGCGACUCUCUGGUCUGUAACUGACGCUGAGGAGCGAAAGCGUGGGGAGCGAACAGGAUUAGAUACCCUGGUAGUCCACGCCGUAAACGAUGAGUGCUAAGUGUUAGGGGGUUUCCGCCCCUUAGUGCUGCAGCUAACGCAUUAAGCACUCCGCAUGGGAGACGUAGUG